Molecule: ribosomal RNA, 482 nt
Filed under: uncultured bacterium
Lineage: Bacteria
Description: partial 16S ribosomal RNA
Rfam family: Bacterial small subunit ribosomal RNA
Source: RNAcentral
AUUGAACGCUGGCGGCAUGCUUUACACAUGCAAGUCGAACGGUAACAGGCCGCAAGGUGCUGACGAGUGGCGAACGGGUGAGUAAUGCAUCGGAACGUGCCCAGUCGUGGGGGAUAACUACUCGAAAGAGUAGCUAAUACCGCAUACGAUCUAUGGAUGAAAGCGGGGGACCGUAAGGCCUCGCGCGAUUGGAGCGGCCGAUGUCAGAUUAGGUAGUUGGUGGGGUAAAGGCUCACCAAGCCAACGAUCUGUAGCUGGUCUGAGAGGACGACCAGCCACACUGGGACGGAGACACGGCCCAGACUCCUACGGGAGGCAGCAGUGGGGAAUUUUGGACAAUGGGCGCAAGCCUGAUCCAGCAAUGCCGCGUGCAGGAAGAAGGCCUUCGGGUUGUAAACUGCUUUUGUACGGAACGAAACGGCUCUGGUUAAUACCCGGGGCUAAUGACGGUACCGUAAGAAUAAGCACCGGCUAACUACGUG